CAUUGAUGUCAUCAAAUUUCUAGGAGUAGUUUGUCACAGUGUAAAAUAUGUCACUUCCUGUUGCCAAUAGGUGGCGCUAUGACUAUAACUGAACAUUGGCAUGUAGAUCUGUUCAGGUCAAGAGUCUCAUCCAACAUGUGAAGUUUGGGGUAGAUUGGACAUUGUAUGUCUGAGUUACAGCAACUUCCUUUUUCAUGGCGAAACAUCUAAAUUUGUCAGGCCGCCAUGGAUACGCCCUUUAACGAAACCUCAUGUCCUUCGCAAUUUAACAUCGCAAAUGGCUUUAGAUUACACUGAUCAAGUUUGGUGUUGAUCUGAAUAAAUCUCUAGGAGGAGUUCGUUAAAGUACAACCCCUGAAAAUGGCAAAAACAACACCAAUUUUGAAGGGAAAAUUCAAAAUAACCGACUUCCUGUUGGGAUCCGGAUUUCAUACCAAGAGACUUUUUUGUAGGUAUUGGAGUGUUACAUGUGUGUACCAAUUUUUGUACAUGUACGUGAAACAUAGCUCGAGGCGCACUCCGUUGAAAGUGUAUAGGUGGCGCUAUAGAGCCAUUCUGCCACACCCGGUGGAAUAUUGGCCUGAAGAUCUGUUCAGGCCAGGACUCUUAUCACACAUGUGAAGUUUGGGGAAGAUCGGACAUCUUAUGCCUGAGUUAUAACAUCUUUUAUUCGCAUGGCGAGACAUCGAACUUCGUCGCGGCGCCAUGAACAAGCCUUU
Molecule: long non-coding RNA, 719 nt
Organism: Carassius gibelio (silver crucian carp)
Lineage: Eukaryota; Metazoa; Chordata; Actinopteri; Cypriniformes; Cyprinidae
Exons: 2
Source: RefSeq, a predicted model, not a curated record